RNAcentral lists this ribosomal RNA (467 nucleotides) under uncultured bacterium. Its description in RNAcentral is "partial 16S ribosomal RNA". It matches the Rfam family "Bacterial small subunit ribosomal RNA", at positions 28 to 507 of the family's 1533-position model. The record is from RNAcentral.
GAUGAACGCUGGCGGCGUGCUUAACACAUGCAAGUCGAACGGAAAGGCCCAAGCUUGCUUGGGUACUCGAGUGGCGAACGGGUGAGUAACACGUGGGUGAUCUGCCCUGCACUUCGGGAUAAGCCUGGGAAACUGGGUCUAAUACCGGAUAGGACCACUUCCUGGAUGUUGUGGUGGAAAGUUUUUUCGGUGUGGGAUGAGCUCGCGGCCUAUCAGCUUGUUGGUGGGGUAAUGGCCUACCAAGGCGUCGGCGGGUAGCCGGCCUGGGAGGGUGUACGGCCACAAUGGGGCUGAGGUACGGCCCAGGCUCCUACGGGGAGCAACAGUGGGGAAUAUUGCACAAUGGGCGCAAGCCUGAUGCAGCGACGCCGCGUGGGGGAUGACGGCCUUCGGGUUGUAAACUCCUUUCGCUAGGGACGAAGCGUUUUGUGACGGUACCUGGUGAAGAAGCACCGGCUAACUACGUG